Molecule: unclassified non-coding RNA, 600 nt
Filed under: Hevea brasiliensis (rubber tree)
Lineage: Eukaryota; Viridiplantae; Streptophyta; Magnoliopsida; Malpighiales; Euphorbiaceae
Source: RNAcentral
AAAGCGCCGAUUUUUGGAUUUGUUUGCAAUCAUACUGAAAAUCUAAAACACACUCAGCAAUCUUAACAAAUUUAUCUUUCACUUUUUGAUUCUCUCGAGAAAAUCAUCCUUUUCUCAGUAACCAAACCAAAUAUUCAAAAUCUUCUGCAGUUUUUGCUGCUGCAGCUGCUGUGGUGCCAAUACAUAAUGAUGAUUGGAGAUAAAUUUUUGUAGAUUCCAUUGGAUUGACGACAGAUCUUGAGGUGAACACUGAUUUUCCAACAUCAAUGAGUCUAUUAAUUCAAACUUGUAUAUUAAUCCAACCUCAUUGGCUCCUCCCUUUUUGUUUCUGACACUUUCCCUUUCCACUUAGUUCGUAUUGAUUUGCUAAUUAUAAGAACUCCCAGAUUUAUGUAACUAUGGUUAGUGGUAAAAUUUCGUCUGAAUCUGUUACUAAUUUCACUUCUUUUUUAUUUGCCAAAAGAAAAUCCAAUUUUCUUCAAAAUUUCCUUCUCUUUUAUUUUGUGGAAAUAGUGUCCAAAUUUCCUGUCUUUUGCUAUGAUUUAUGAAUAAUUCCUCGCAGUUUCUUCCAAAUUUUGUUGCAGAGAGAGAGAGAGAGAG